AUGGUGUUGGCAAAAGUGAAAAUAAAUUCACAUCUUCUAAGCUUUCCUCUGCAGUCAGCUCCUGGAAAUGACUUCGACACUGAUUGUUCGACACUGAUGCAGUUAAAAACUGCAAGGACAUAUACUGAAUGUGGAGCAGGAAUGCCUCUCAUACUGCUGCAGAGCACAUACUUGCAGACCACAAUUUCACAGGAAGUUAAUGUCAAAGUUGCAAAAGAUGUAAUGUUACUCUGCACCCACAGAUUAUUGGAGCCAUAUCCCUUGAGAAAACUUGCCAUCUUGGGUAAACCCCAACUAUCCUGGGCAUCCAUUAUUCUAAAAGCAACCCUUUGGCCCCUUUGUAUUUUUUUAUAAUUAAAUGAAUGUUAUCAAAAAGAAUCAAGGACAUGGGAAAGAGGGGAAAAAAGUUUAAAAUAAGCAUGAGAACUGUGGGAACAUGGUGGGAGAAGAGUAGUGAAGGCAGUAGCUCUUCCCUCCAGUAGAAUGAAGCCCUGUGCAAAGUUGUGCCAUGUACAUGAUGAUUUUCUUUGGAAAGUCGUUACCUGGCUUACGUGAAGGAUGACAGGAAAUGUGAAAAUAUGUCAUGGAUACUCUAAAAAUGACCAGAGUUUAGUGCUUACUGGGUCCAAGGACAACAGGGCACCAAGUUGAGCAAAUAUGCCUUAUAGUUGGCCGAAUUUGGGUGCUGGUUGUUAGAGGAAGCAAAAAAACAGAAAAACAUGAAAGCAUCCUAUCUUUGGUUCUAGAGAGAUCUAACCUGAAACAUCUGUGAAAGUGGCUGCAGCACAUGUAUGUGCACCCUAGAUAAGGAGUUCUCAUCACAAAAACAAAACAAAACAAAACAAAACAAAACCUUAUUUUUGCUCUUGCUUGAAAUGUUGAAAUGCAAGAGAAAUGGAAAGUAGAAUAUUUCAUAUGCUGAAAAGUUUUGAUCCAAUUGCUCUUGAAAUCAUUAGGAAUUUGUUGACUUUAUACUGAAUGCCUAAUGACAUUCUUCUUUUAGUAAAUGAGCUGCCUCGCUGAAUGCAUCUGAAGAGUUUGUGGUAAAGGGUAUUUAAUUUACAAAGCUGUUGGCUAAUGUGUCAACACCCACAGAGUUAGAACAAUCACAGCUCCAGGCAAACCACAGAUGAAAAGAUACCAUCAGUGUCAGCAAGAACUGUGUAUUCUGUUAAGUCAAGAGUGUAGGUUGUGCCCAUGUUUACCAUUCUCUUAUCUUCUGUUUUGUUUUGUUUUCUAAUUCUUUAAAUAUUCUGAAUUACAUUAAUAUCACUGGGGCGAUAUGAGAAGCCAAUCAGGACACUACUUCCCAGAAUACCAGUUUCCUGAUGUACAUCAGGCAGAAGGAGUCCAAAAUUGUGUGGGACAAAGGGAACAGGACAGGACACUACUGGAAGAAGACAAAUAGAGAAGAUAAAUAAGUCUGUGAGUAGCUAACACAGUGUUAUUAGUCUGCUUCAGUAAAAAGAAGCAGCUGUGUCACUAUCAGGUAAUGCUGGAAUGUGUGAGAAAGUAUGGAGUUGGACCAGACAGCAAGGGAUAAAUUUGGGAAGCAAACGUAAAACAGAGAGCAUGAAAAAGGAUUGUAUCAGAAGGCUUAUAACAAAAUUUACUUUUUUCUAAUAUUUGCAUUUGGUGUGUUAACCUCAUUUUAUUUUGUAUGUUAUAUAGGAGGAAGAUAGUAAAAGAACUGAAAUGUCCGCUUGCUCCCAUAAACUAAGGAUAAACUGGAAGAUAAAUCUGUUGUUCUACAGAGUUCCUAAUGAUAUUAAACAUUAUCUUAUUUCUCCUCAUCCUUUUCCCUUAAAGCCAAAAGGAUAUAUACUAAAAUUGGUACAAUUCAGAGAUUAGCAUGGCCCCCACGCAAGGAUUGCUAGAAAUCUGUGAAGUGUUCUGUCAAGCCAGAAAUACAGUUAUAACUUGGAAGCUUUCUCAAGAAAAAUGACUCUUAAGUGAGAGUGUUUGUAAUUUUUGAUAGCAAAAUUAUCCCUCCUGUAGAUUAUUAAUGGGUGCCCAAAUGGUGGUUAGAGUGAGGCUAGGGUGUAAAUGGAACAAACAGCAAGUAGAGAGUGGACAGGUGUGAGAAAGCAUAAGAAACAGACCAUACAAAUGUAAAUGAAUCUGUUCUCCUUUUGGCCUUCACGCAUCUGUCCUUAAGGGUGUGUUUUCCAGGCUCUGUCAGAACUAAAUAAAAAACUGAUUUCUUCAUGUUCA
Chrysolophus pictus (golden pheasant) is the source of this 2214-nucleotide long non-coding RNA. The record is from Ensembl. NCBI's taxonomy places the organism in Eukaryota, Metazoa, Chordata, Aves, Galliformes, Phasianidae.